ACACAGCAGGGAAGUGGCCGAGCUAGGCUCAGGCUGAUCCCAGGUCUGUGUGGCCCACCGUACUGCCCAUGUUGAUCCAUUCUCCUGGGCUCUAUUGGGACAUGCAGGCGAAGGCUCAAGGAUGGAAAGUUGGCCCUCUUGGGGGCAGACGGAGGCCUUGGGACCAAAGUCCCUCCUGCAGCUGUCUCCACACAUACCUCUGCACAGGCAGGUUCCAGACAGCAGACCCGGCUACCUGGAGAGCUCCCCGCCAGCCGUGCACACAAGUCAGCCUUACCAGGAUAACAAGCUGUGAAGAUCUUAUCAGGCCCCUGAUGCUGAUGCUGAUGCUGAUGCUGAUGCUAGCGGGCUGUCCCCCUGCCCACCACAGCCUCAGCCUUCUCCCAGGCUGGGGAAUCCUGUUUUCUUUCCUAAGUGGAACAUCAGAUUACUCAGAUCCUCCCCGGUGUCUAACAGGACGGCUCAUCUCCAGCUACGGCCAGGGGGGCAAGGAGCUGGUGGGACUGGUAUUGAGAAUAGCAGCCAUGUGGAAAAUGGACUGAACACAGCAGAAGCCUGGGAAACAUGGCGGGGUGAGAAUCCCCCAGAAGAUGGAAAGGACAGCCAAUCCUUCCCAAGAAAUGCACAAUUCCCUCCAAAACAGAAACCACCCAUUGUGGCUAAGCCAGCAGCCUGGUGGGUUAUGUAGUGGACUGGCCCAGGGACAGAAAAACUGGGGCCAGUGAUACUGAGGAGGGGGAGGGGAAAGGAAGGAGGAGGUGUCCCAGCUAAGGGGUGACCAUCUCUCGCUGAGCAGGCACGCCCAGCCCAGCACUGGGAAGACCAUACUAUCAGGCACCAAGGUUAAGAGCAGGACCUCGGAAGCGACACACACUUGGGUUCAUGUCCUGGCUAUGACCCGAGGCAAGUGUUAUAUAUCUCUCAGAGCCUCAGUCUGUGAAAUGGGGAUAAUAAUAACACCUACGUUUCCUGAGAAUGCAACAAGAUAAUGUGUGUUCAAAGCAUUUAGCAUGCUGCUGGGCACACAGUGAGUGUGAGUGUCCAGUAAAGAGCAGUUGGAAUUACUUCUGCAUCCCCAGAGUCCUGGACUCCAG
Molecule: long non-coding RNA, 1094 nt
Organism: Zalophus californianus (California sea lion)
Lineage: Eukaryota; Metazoa; Chordata; Mammalia; Carnivora; Otariidae
Exons: 3
Source: RefSeq, a predicted model, not a curated record